This 508-nucleotide ribosomal RNA is filed under the name uncultured bacterium. RNAcentral describes it as "partial 16S ribosomal RNA". It matches the Rfam family "Bacterial small subunit ribosomal RNA", at positions 28 to 523 of the family's 1533-position model. The record is from RNAcentral.
GAUGAACGCUAGCUACAGGCUUAACACAUGCAAGUCGAGGGGAAACGAUAUUGGAAGCUUGCUUCCGAUAGGCGUCGACCGGCGCACGGGUGAGUAACGCGUAUCCAACCUGCCCACCACUUGGGGAUAACCUUGCGAAAGUAAGACUAAUACUCAAUGAUGUCCAUAGAAGACAUCUGAAAUGGAUUAAAGAUUUAUCGGUGAUGGAUGGGGAUGCGUCUGAUUAGCUUGUUGGCGGGGUAACGGCCCACCAAGGCGACGAUCAGUAGGGGUUCCGAGAGGAAGGUCCCCCACAUUGGAACUGAGACACGGUCCAAACUCCUACGGGAGGCAGCAGUGAGGAAUAUUGGUCAAUGGGCGAGAGCCUGAACCAGCCAAGUAGCGUGCAGAAUGACGGCCCUAUGGGUUGUAAACUGCUUUUAUAAGGGAAUAAAGUGAGCCUCGUGAGGCUUUUUGCAUGUACCUUAUGAAUAAGGACCGGCUAAUUCCGUGCCAGCAGCCGCCGCGG